Henosepilachna vigintioctopunctata is the source of this 77-nucleotide non-coding RNA. The record is from the annotation of a GenBank genome assembly. Lineage: Eukaryota; Metazoa; Arthropoda; Insecta; Coleoptera; Coccinellidae.
GGUCUCCGUAGAUCAAUGGUAGGUAGAACAACCGACUAUGGUGCGGUAGAACUCGGGUUCGAGCCCCGCUGAAAGCA